AAGGAUCAUUACCAAUUUCGGGGGACUUCGGUCCCUGUCUGAACCCUUGUCUUUUGAGUACCAUUUGUUUCCUUGGUAGGCUUUGCCUACCAAUAGGACACCACUUAACCUCUUGUAAUUGCAAUCAGCGUCAGAAAAAACAUAAUAGUUACAACUUUCAACAACGGAUCUCUUGGUUCUGGCAUCGAUGAAGAACGCAGCGAAAUGCGAAAAGUAGUGUGAAUUGCAGAAUUCAGUGAAUCAUCGAAUCUUUGAACGCACAUUGCGCCCCUUGGUAUUCCAUGGGGCAUGCCUGUUCGAGCGUCAUUUGUAUCUUCAAGCUCUGCUUGGUGUUGGGUGUUUGUCCCGCUUUGUGCGUGGACUCGCCUUAAAGCAAUUGGCAGCCGGCGUACUAGUCUGGGAGCGCAGCACAAUUUGCGCCUCUGAACCUGAACGCUUGCGUCCAUGAAGUCUAUACUUUUGCUUUUGACCUCGGAUCAGGUAGGGAUACCCGCUGAACUUAAGCAUAUCAAUAAGCGGAGGAAAAGAAACCAACAGGGAUUGCCCUAGUAACGGCGAGUGAAGCGGCAUCAGCUCAAAUUUGAAAUCUGGCUCUUUCAGGGUCCGAGUUGUAAUUUGCAGAGGGCGCUUUGGUGUUGGCAGCGGUCCAAGUUCCUUGGAACAGGACGUCACAGAGGGUGAGAAUCCCGUACGUGGUCGCUGGCCUUCGCCGUGUAAAGUCCCUUCGACGAGUCGAGUUGUUUGGGAAUGCAGCUCUAAAUGGGAGGUAAAUUUCUUCUAAAGCUAAAUACUGGCCAGAGACCGAUAGCGCACAAGUAGAAUGAUCGAAAGAUGAAAAGCACUUUGGAAAGAGAGUCAAAUAGCACGUGAAAUUGUUGAAAGGGAAGCGCUUGCAGCCAGACUUGCCUGUAGUUGCUCAUCUAGGCUCUUUGCCUAGUGCACUCUUCUGCGGGCAGGCCAGCAUCAGUCUAGGCGGUUGGAUAAAGGCCUCUGUCAUGUACCUCCUCUCGGGGAGGCCUUAUAGGGGAGGCGUAAUGCAACCAGCCUGGACUGAGGUCCGCGCAUCUGCUAGGAUGCUGGCGUAAUGGCUGUAAGCGGCC
This 1100-nucleotide ribosomal RNA is filed under the name uncultured Pleurophoma. RNAcentral describes it as "eukaryotic LSU rRNA". The stretch from base 467 to 1100 matches the Rfam family "Eukaryotic large subunit ribosomal RNA", at positions 1 to 649 of the family's 3401-position model. Lineage: Eukaryota; Fungi; Ascomycota; Dothideomycetes; Pleosporales. The record is from RNAcentral.